Molecule: unclassified non-coding RNA, 220 nt
Filed under: plant metagenome
Description: partial contains small subunit ribosomal RNA, internal transcribed spacer 1, and 5.8S ribosomal RNA
Source: RNAcentral
UCUCCGUAGGUGAACCUGCGGAGGGAUCAUUACAGAGUUCGUGCCCUCACGGGUAGAUCUCCCACCCUGUGUUAUUAUACCUUUGUUGCUUUGGCGGGCCGCCCUCGGCUACCGGCCCCGGCUGGUACGCGCCCGCCAGAGGACCCCAAACUCUGAAUGUUGGUGUCGUCUGAGUACUAUACAAUAGUUAAAACUUUCAACAACGGAUCUCUUGGUUCUG